This 22-nucleotide non-coding RNA is filed under the name Arabidopsis thaliana (thale cress). The record is from RNAcentral. Lineage: Eukaryota; Viridiplantae; Streptophyta; Magnoliopsida; Brassicales; Brassicaceae.
UUGAAAAUGUCAAGUGCUUACC